CCUACGGUAGGCAGCAGUAGGGAAUAUUGCUCAAUGGACGCAACUCUGAAGCAGCAACGCCGCGUGCAGGAUGAAGGUUUUCGGAUUUUUCACUCCUUUUUUUAGAGAAGAUAAUGACGAUAUCUAACUCAUAAUCACCGGCUAACUCCGUGCCGGCAGCGGCAGUACUACGGAGGGUGCAACCGUUACUCGGAAUCUCUGGGCGUAAAGAGCGCGUAGGCGGUAUAGCAAGUCAGAUGUGAAAUCCUAUGGCUUAACCAUAGAACUGAAUUUGAAACUGUUAUUCUAGAGUAUAGUAGAGGUAGGUGGAAUGCUUGGUGUAGCGGUAAAAUGCGUAGAGAUCAAGAGGAAUACCGAUUGCGAAGGCGACCUGCUAGAACAUAACUGACGCUGAUGCGCGAAAGCGUGGGGAGCAAACAGGAUUAGAUACCCGUGUAGUC
This 440-nucleotide ribosomal RNA is filed under the name uncultured bacterium. RNAcentral's name for it is "partial 16S ribosomal RNA". It matches the Rfam family "Bacterial small subunit ribosomal RNA", at positions 338 to 795 of the family's 1533-position model. The record is from RNAcentral.